RNAcentral lists this non-coding RNA (86 nucleotides) under Steroidobacter denitrificans. RNAcentral describes it as "c-di-GMP sequence". It matches the Rfam family "c-di-GMP-I riboswitch aptamer". Rfam says of the family: GEMM was predicted in a large-scale screen for bacterial structured RNA regulatory elements. Genes associated with GEMM are involved in a diverse array of functions, including chemotaxis regulation, signal transduction, secretion and chitin. Lineage: Bacteria; Pseudomonadati; Pseudomonadota; Gammaproteobacteria; Steroidobacterales; Steroidobacteraceae. The record is from Rfam by way of RNAcentral.
AUUGGUUACGGGCAAACCCGUCGAAAGACGGGGACGCAAAGCUUCCGGUCUACGGGAUUCCAUCCUACGACAGCGGGGUUGCCGCA